RNAcentral lists this ribosomal RNA (515 nucleotides) under uncultured bacterium. Its description in RNAcentral is "partial 16S ribosomal RNA". It matches the Rfam family "Bacterial small subunit ribosomal RNA", at positions 28 to 523 of the family's 1533-position model. The record is from RNAcentral.
GAUGAACGCUGGCGGCGUGCCUAAUACAUGCAAGUCGAGCGAAUGGAUUAAGAGCUUGCUCUUAUGAAGUUAGCGGCGGACGGGUGAGUAACACGUGGGUAACCUGCCCAUAAGACUGGGAUAACUCCGGGAAACCGGGGCUGAUACCGGAUAACAUUUUGAACCGCAUGGUUCGAAAUUGAAAGGCGGCUUCGGCUGUCACUUAUGGAUGGACCCGCGUCGCAUUAGCUAGUUGGUGAGGUAACGGCUCACCAAGGCAACGAUGCGUAGCCGAACUGAGAGGGUGAUCGGCCAAACUGGGACUGAGACACGGCCCAGACUCCUACGGGAGGCAGCAGUAGGGAAUCUUCCGCAAUGGACGAAAGUCUGACGGAGCAACGCCGCGUGAGUGAUGAAGGCUUUCGGGUCGUAAAACUCUGUUGUUAGGGAAGAACAAGUGCUAGUUGAAUAAGCUGGCACCUUGACGGUACCUAACCAGAAAGCCACGGCUAACUACGUGCCAGCCGCCGCAGUAA